This 98-nucleotide small nuclear RNA is filed under the name Mustela putorius furo (domestic ferret). Lineage: Eukaryota; Metazoa; Chordata; Mammalia; Carnivora; Mustelidae. The record is from RNAcentral.
UACUUUGGGAUGUAUUUUACUAAAAUUGGAGUAAGAGAAUAUCAGCGGGGCCCCUGCCCAAGGAUGACAUACAAAUUCAUGAGAUGUUCUGUAUUUUU